RNAcentral lists this ribosomal RNA (255 nucleotides) under Klebsiella aerogenes. RNAcentral's name for it is "partial 23S ribosomal RNA". It matches the Rfam family "Bacterial large subunit ribosomal RNA", at positions 1448 to 1703 of the family's 2925-position model. The record is from RNAcentral. Lineage: Bacteria; Pseudomonadati; Pseudomonadota; Gammaproteobacteria; Enterobacterales; Enterobacteriaceae.
GUGUUACUGCGAAGGGGGGACGGAGAAGGCUAUGUUAGCCGGGCGACGGUUGUCCCGGUUUAAGCAUGUAGGCGGAGGUUCCAGGUAAAUCCGGUACCUUUUAACGCUGAGGUGUGAUGACGAGGCACUACGGUGCUGAAGUAACAAAUGCCCUGCUUCCAGGAAAAGCCUCUAAGCAUCAGGUAACAUUGAAUCGUACCCCAAACCGACACAGGUGGUCAGGUAGAGAAUACCAAGGCGCUUGAGAGAACUCGG